AUGCACACGGGUGCUCACGCCACACACACACACGCACAUACAGGUGCUCACGCCACACACACGCACACACGCACAUACAGGUGCUCACGCCACACACAGGUGCUCACACCACACACACGGGUGCUCACACCACACACGGGUGCUCAUGCUGCACACACGGGUGCUCACGCCACACACAUACACAUACAGGUGCUUACGCCACACACACACGGGUGCUCACGCCACACACACGCACAUACAUGCACAUACAGGUGCUCACGCCACACACACACACGCACAUACAGGUGCUCAUACUACACGGUGCUCACGCCACACACAUACACAUACAGGUGCUCGCGCCACACACACACACACGGGUGCUCACAUUACACACACACGCACAUACAGGUGCUCACACUACACACACGGGUGCUCACGCUACACACAUAUACAUACAGGUGCUCACGCUACACACACAUGCACAUACAGGUGCUCACACUACACGGUGCUCACGCCACACACACAUACAGGUGCUUAUGCCACACACACACACGGGUGCUCACACCACACACACACACACGGGUGCUCAUGCCACACACACACAUGUGCUCAUGCCGCACACACGCACAUACAGGUGCUCACGCCACACACAGGUGCUCAUGCUGCAGACACGGGUGCUCACACCACACACACACGGCUGCUCAUGCCACACACACAGGUGCUCAUGCCACACACAUGCACAUACAGGUGCUCACACUACACAUGCAGGUACUCAGCCACACACAGGUGCUCAUGCUGCACACAUGGCUGCUCACACCACAUACACACACGGCUGCUCAUGCCACACACACACACAUACAGGUGCUUACGCCACACACAUGCACACACACGGGUGCUCACGCCACACACAUGCACACACACGGGUGCUCACGCCACACACACACACACACGGCUGCUCACGCCACACACACGCACAUACAGGUGCUCAUGCCACACUGCACACACACACAGGUGCUCAUGCCACACACAUGCACACACACGGGUGCUCACGCCACACACACGCACAUACAGGUGCUCACGCCACACACACUGGGCGAGAUGGCCGGGCCCUCAGGUGGGCCAGGCUCGUGGCUGGUCUUGAAGGGACUGGAAGGAAGGGAGCUGAGCUGUGGUCGAGGUGUCGCUGUGCAGACCCUGGAGGCAGGUGGCUUAGAGUGCAGACUGAGCGUGCUGAGACAGGCCGCCGGUGUGGCUCGGCCGGGCUCUGUGCCUGCCCCACCCAGGACAGUGGCCGCCCACUAG
This 1281-nucleotide long non-coding RNA is filed under the name Oryctolagus cuniculus (rabbit). RNAcentral describes it as "lncRNA (ENSOCUG00000029548.1)". The record is from RNAcentral. Lineage: Eukaryota; Metazoa; Chordata; Mammalia; Lagomorpha; Leporidae.